UGCUAGGAUUUUCUUUGUAGUGUGAGAAGUGCCUUAGUUCUAGAUACCAAGAGAUUUUUCUAGGCAAGGUCAUAUGUGAAACCAAGUUUAAAAUCCUACAAUGGUUUCAUUAUCUGAUAAAAUGAGGGCAAAGAAAAUGAUUAUAGCUUUGCCCCUUCUGUCAUGAAUUAGAGUGUAGAAGCUGAUUUCUCUAAUCUUGUUCUCAACUGUUUUCCAAGUUUGUUUUCUGCUACUUCUUCCAUUUUGUGUGACUCUUUCAUUUGUAUAUACAGUCUGAAUUUAAUUUAAGUCUUUGGUUCUUGUUACCUGUGAAGGCUUUACAACUGAUGGCCGCGCUGCUAUUGCUGCCAAUUGUAGGAGAUCUCAAUUGCAGCAAAUGUAGCCCAAAAGGAAAUUGAUAAGUACAUCAAGAUACCUAGAGAAGCCCUUCAGCUAAGUCGACCUAUCAACAACAGUUCUAUAUCGGUCUAAAUGCCAAGGUUUUGCAGUCUCCUCCAGCUAAAUACAUCUACUUAGGACAAAUGGGAAACUUAAUUUGGUUCACACAGCACAAAUCUCUUCUUAGCAAAGAAGGGGAGAGCCUGUUCCCCAAUUGUUCUUGGACAAGAGUAUUGGUUGCCCAUUCUUACUGGUGCCAACACCAGGCUAAGCAACAUGGCAAGCACCAGGCUUGUCCCAAGGAUCACAGACAGUAGCUCAACUUGUAGACAUGUAGUUCCAAUGUACUCGGCAUUGUAUAAUGUAGAAAAGAGCAAAAGUUGAUAGAUACAGAGAAAAAGGCAAAUGUACAAAUGACCCUCCUAAA
Rosa chinensis is the source of this 805-nucleotide long non-coding RNA. RefSeq lists it as uncharacterized. NCBI's taxonomy places the organism in Eukaryota, Viridiplantae, Streptophyta, Magnoliopsida, Rosales, Rosaceae. The record is from RefSeq and is a predicted model, not a curated record. The transcript has 3 exons.